Molecule: unclassified non-coding RNA, 647 nt
Filed under: Hevea brasiliensis (rubber tree)
Lineage: Eukaryota; Viridiplantae; Streptophyta; Magnoliopsida; Malpighiales; Euphorbiaceae
Source: RNAcentral
GUGAAUUUUGCCACUUCAACAAUUUCUGAGCCAAAAUCGUGAAUUGGGAUUACAAUUGGAGGUUUUGACAAAGUGCCGAAUCAGUUCUUAACUGUAGACUAAUAAUUGUUAAUGUAGUGCCUGACAAGAGUGCAAAAAAAAAACUCUGCAAAUUGCAAACUUAUAAUCACGACUUGCAGAGCAUGUUGUGACUUUUGAAGCAGGCUGCAAAUGUGUGAAGAGUGUGUUGGCUAUUUGUUUGGUUGGAUCAAAUUCAAAAUGAUUGGGUUUGUGUGUGUUCAACUUAUUUCCUUUCUUUCUCAUAUUAAUUACUGGGUGCAUCACUGCAUUGAAUCUUAAUUACACUUAAAGGGCCGUUCAAAAUGUGAAUUCUCAUUAAGAUAGAUAACUACUUCCAAACUUUUAAUUUUCUAUUUUUUUAUUUUAUAUAUAGAUUUUUAAAAAGCAUCUAAUAUAAAUUUGAUUUCAUAUAAAAACAAAUUUAAUAAUCAUUAAAUUAUUAAAAUUUAUACAGAAUCAAUUAAGUAUGUAUAUUUAUUAAAAGUUCAAGGUGCACUAAGGCACCAAGGGGUAUUGGAGCCUAGGCACAAGGCACAGGCCCACGCUUGAGCGAGAUGAGGUGCAAAAAAAUAAAAAAAUAAAAUAAA